AACGAACGCUGGCGGCAUGGCUAAGACAUGCAAGUCGCACGGACCGUAUAGCAAUAUGCGGUUAGUGGCGAAAGGGAGAGUAAUGAAUAGGUAAUGUACCUUGGACACAGGGAUAACGCCGGGGGCAACCCCUUUACGAAAGUGGCGCUAAUACCUGGUGAAGUCGGGACGGGGCAUCCCGUUGCGACCAGAGGGCGGGGAUCGUAAGACCUGCCGGUCUGAGAGCAGCCUAUCCUAUCACCUAGUUGGUGAGGUAACGGCUCACCAAGGGAUCGACGGGUAGCGGGUGUGAGAGCACGAUCCGCCUCAUCGGGACUGAGACACUGCCCGGACACCUACGGGUGGCUGCAGUAACGAAUAUUGGGCAAUGGGCGCAAGCCUGACCCAGCAAUG
This 393-nucleotide ribosomal RNA is filed under the name uncultured bacterium. Its description in RNAcentral is "bacterial SSU rRNA". It matches the Rfam family "Bacterial small subunit ribosomal RNA", at positions 29 to 396 of the family's 1533-position model. The record is from RNAcentral.